Long non-coding RNA from Dendroctonus ponderosae (mountain pine beetle), 403 nucleotides. RefSeq lists it as uncharacterized. The transcript is spliced from 2 exons. Lineage: Eukaryota; Metazoa; Arthropoda; Insecta; Coleoptera; Curculionidae. The record is from RefSeq and is a predicted model, not a curated record.
UUUAAAAACUUAAACUUCCAGCUUAAACCAACGUUCCAAUAUUCAUCAUUUCAAUUUCAUUCAUCAAUUCAAUCAUUGGUUUCUGACUGGUUCCUGAAGUUCGAACUGCAAUGGAGUUACAGAGGCGCUGCAACACAUUGAUAACCCUGAUUGAACGGGAAAACGCGGAGCUGGAGGAGAAGGAAAAGAAUGAGAAAAAGAAGAAAGCGCCCAAGACCUCACAACUUCCUGGAACGCCCACCCAAAUGGCGCCCAAGUCUGCCCAAAAACGAAACAAUGAGAGCCCCGCAUCGGUGGUGGAAAAAAAAAACCAUGUUCAUUCGCAAUAACCACGUUGAGCGCGGCUGUAGAAUUUAAAUUUUCAUAUUUUUAACUCUAAUUAAUAAAGUACGAUUUAAGAUGA